Long non-coding RNA from Caretta caretta (loggerhead turtle), 8629 nucleotides. RefSeq lists it as uncharacterized. The record is from RefSeq and is a predicted model, not a curated record. NCBI's taxonomy places the organism in Eukaryota, Metazoa, Chordata, Testudines, Cheloniidae.
GCGAGACAGACGAGAACGCGCCGCCGCGAACGUUACGGGAGUUGGGCGGCGGUUGGGGAAGGAGGGAGAGUCAACGUCACCGCCCUCCUUCCGCAGUCACUCCGCCGGUGCAUCAGAUCUCUCGUGCACACGCGCGCAACACACGCACACGGAAGGAAAAUAACGGGCCCUGGCAGGGCCGGGGGCGGGGCAGCAGGCAGGCGCGGAGCAGGGCGCAAGCGCCGGGACGGCUGGUCUUGGUCUUGGCUCCUGCGGCUGGAACAUUCUGGAAAUGGCGGAUGCGAUGUCCCGGAGAUUGAGACGGGAGGGGAUGGGGGAAGAGACUAGAGCACCUGCUUCCCCUUGUGACAGGAACCGAGUAGGAGCCGCCACCGAUUCCUCCCGACUCUCAAGCCCAGGGCCCCCUACUUGAGCUACACCGGGUUUUCCGGCAGCGAUGGCGCAGAGAGACAGACAUGCGUGCAAAAUGCAAACAGUGCCACAAAGAAAUGCAAGGCCUGGUUGCCUGAAUGAAACAUCAUCAUUUCUCAGGAGGAAGCUUAUGAAAGAAACAUGAAGGAUCUUCAGGAGAAUCUAUCCUCAAACUUCAGGAUUCUGAAGACUAUCCACCUUCAGAUCACCAUCAUUUUCUAUAGUUUCAGAAUUAUCUGCCAACAAUAGUGUUUCAGUCACAUCAUGUAUGUCACAUAGCCACAGUAUAUCACUUGUAGCAAAAAGGAAAAAAAAUUUCCAUCAUCCAUCAUCUAUAACCAUAGAUACAUUUGUUAUAAGAACCAGCAGAUUACAAAAAGAGGUAAUUGAUGAAAAAAUCACCUAGUUUGUUUAUGCAACAAACUCUUCUUUCGGUAUGACUGAGAACCCACACUUCAUUAACAUGGUUCAGUCAUAAAGACCAGGACACAGUCCAUACAACAGAGCAGAUGUCGCAGGCAAAUUGCUGGAUAAAGUGUAUGAAAGAAAUUGAGCAGCGUGCAAAAGGUCUAGAAGGUAAAAUUGUUAACCUGCGUCUUGAUGGGUGGAGCAAUGUCCACAAUGAUCCUGUUGUGAUUGUCUGACAACAGAAGAAAGGAAUGUCUUAUUUACAGAAACAAUUGGUACAUUAGGAAAUGCGCACACAGCAGAAUACUUACAAGUAGCAGCAAGAAAAGCUAUAACAAACUGUGGGGAAAAAAUUCAAAUGUCUAGUUCGCAGCUUGGUCACAGACAAUGCUGCAAAUGUAUCCAAGAUGAGAAGAACUUAUUUAGAAGAGAGUCCCAAGCUAAUAACAUAUGGUUGCAGUGCUCAUUUGAUGCAUCUCCUAGCCAAAGACUUCAGUGUUCCAGAAAUAAAGGCUAAUGUUAUUGAAAUUGCAAAAUACUUCCGUAACAACCACUUUGCAGCAGCUGCUCUGAAAAAAGUGGGAGGAACCAAGCUACCUCUCCCACAAGACGUGCGAUGGAACUCAGUAGUGGACUGUUUUGAGCACUAUAUCAAGAACUGAUGACAGUUAAUGACAGUUUGUGAACAAAAACAUGAAAAAACAGAUGGCACUGUCACAGCCAAACAUUGGGGUUAAGAGAAAUGUUGAACACAUGCUGAGUACCCUGAAGCCUAUUUCUGUAGUCUUGAACAAAACACAGGGAAAUAGCUGUUUUAUUGCUGACGCUGUUGAAAUUUGGAAGGAACUGAGUGAGAGCUUAAAAAAAGAGAACUAUGCAAUGACAGAGUUAAAUUACAAGCAUUAAAAAAACGAACAGGACAAGCACCAUCUCCAGAUCAUUUUCUCGCAAUUAUUCUCAAUACUCAGUACCAGGGUCAAACCUGAACUGCUGAAGAAGAGGAGCUGGCUAGGACAUGGACAUCCAGCAAUCAUCCCUCCAUAAUGUCAACUAUAAUAAACUUCAGAGCUACGGGUGAACCAUUCAAGAAAUAUAUGUUUGCUGAUGAUGGUUAAAGAAAGUCACACCAGCCAUAUAAAUAAGAAGAAAACAAAGAAAAAAGUGGGGCCACUAAACACUGAGGAUGGAGUGGAGGUUAAGGAUAAUCUAGGCAUGACCCAAUAUCUAAACAAAUACUUUGCCUCAGUCUUUAAUGAGGAGCUUAGGGAUAAUGGUAGGAUGACAAAUAGGAAGGAGGAUAUGGAGGUAGAUAUUACCACAUCCGAGGUAGAAGCCAAACUUGAACAGCUUAAUGGGAUUAAAUUGGGGGGGGCCCAGAUAAUCUUCAUCCAAGAAUAUUAAAGGAACUGGCACAAGAAAUUGCAAGCCCAUUAGCAAAAAUUUUUUAAUGAAUCUAUAAACUCAGGGGUUGUGCCAUAUGUCUGGAGAAUUGCUAACAUAGUUCCUAUUUUUAAGAAAGGGAAAAAAAAAAAAAAGUGAUCCGGGCAAUUACAGGCCUGUUAGUUUGACAUCUGUACUAUGCAAGGUCUUGGAAAAAAAUCUGAAGGAGAAAGUAGUUAAGGACACUGAGGUCAAUGGUAAUUGGGACAAAAUACAAGAUGGUUUUACAAAAGGUAGAUCAUGCCAAACCAACCUGAUCUUCUUUGAGAAGGUAACAGAUUUUUUUAGACAAAGGAAAUGCAGUGGAUCUAAUUUACCUCGAUUUCAGUAAGGCAAUUGAUACUGUUUCACAUAGGGAAUUAUUAGUUAAAUUGGAAAAGAUUGGGAUCUAUAUGAAAAUAGAAAGGUGGAUAAGGAACUGGUAAAACGGGAGACUACAAUGGGUCACACUGAAAGGAGGUUACUAGUGGAGUUCCUCAGGGAUCAGUUUUGAAACCAAUCUUUUUAUUACUGACCUUGGCAUAAAAAACAGGAAUGUGAUAAUAAAGUUUGCAGAUAACACAAAGCUGGAAGGUAUUGCCAAUUCAAAGACAGACCAGGAUAUCAUACAGGAAGAUCUGGAUGACCUUGCAAACUGGAGUAACAGUAAUAGGAUGAAAUUUAAUAGUGAAAAGUGCAAGGUCAUGCCUUAAGGAUUAAUAACAAGAAUUUUUGUUAUAAACUGGGGACGCAUCACUUGGAAGUAACAGAGAAGGACCUUGGAAUAUUGGUUGAUCACAGGAGGAUGAUGAGCCGCCAAUGCGAUAUGGCCAUGAGAAAAAGCUAAUGUGGUCUUGGGAUGCAUCAGACAAGGUAUUUCCAGUAGAGAUAAGGAGGUGUUAGUACCAUUAUACAAGGCACUGGUGAGACCUCAUCUGGAAUACUGUGUGCAGUUCUAGUCUCCCAUGUUUAAGAAAGAUGAAUUCAAACUGGAACAGGUACAGAGAAAGGCUAAUAGGAUGAUCUGAGGAAUGGAAAACCUGUUUUAUGAAAGGAGACUCCAACAGCUUCUCUUGUUUAGCCUAACCAAAAGAAAGCUGAGAGGAGAGAUGAUUGCUCUCUAUAAAUAUAUCAGAGGGGUAAAUACCACAGAGGGAGAAGAAUUAUUUAAGCUCAGUACCAAUGUGGACACAAGAACAAAUCAAUAUGAACUGGCGAUCAGGAAGUUUAGACUUGAAAUUAGAUGAAGGUUUUUAACCAUCAGAGGAGUGAAGUUCUGGAACAGCCCUCCAAGGGAAGCAGUGGGGGCAAAAGACAUAUCUGGCUUCAAGACUAAGCUUGAUAAGUUUAUGGAAGAGAUAGGAUAUGAUGGGAUAGCCUAAUUUUGGCAAUUAAUUGAUCAUCAACUAUUAGCGGUAGAUAUGCCCAAUGGCCUGUGACGGGAUGUCAGAUGGGGUGGGAUCUGAGUUACUACAGAGAAUUCUUUCCUGGGUGUCCGGCUAGUGAGUCUUGCCCACAUGCUCAGGGUUUAGCUGACUUCCAUAUUUGGGGUUUGGAAGGAAUUUUCCUCCAGGGCAGAUUGGCACAGGCCAUGGGGGUUUUUUGCCUUCCUCUGCAGCGUGGGGCAUGGGUUACUUGCUGGAGGAUUCUCUGCACCUUGAAGUCUUUAAGCCACGAUUUGAGGACUUCAGUAGCUCAGACAUAGGUUAGAGGUUUGUUACAGGAGUGGGUGGGUGAGAUUCAGUGGCCUGCGUUGUGCAGGAGGUCAGACUAGAUGAUCAUAAUGGUCCCUUCUCACCUUAAAGUCUAUUAUUCUAUUACUUAAGCAUUUGUAUUCAGAGACUGUUGAAGUGAUAAUCUCACUUUUAAUCUUUAAUCUUCUACCGAUAUAGAAAGAAUAUUUUCUUCCUUUGGACUAAUUCAUUCCAAAUUGAGAAAUCGUUUGGGACCUGAAAAAGCAGGAAAGCUUGUUUUUCUUUUCCAGAUUAUGAACAAACAGGAAGGCUGGCUGACAGUCGAUUUAAUUUUUUUUUUUAAUAUAUUUCAUUUAAUUAUUUUAGUUAACAAAACAAACCUGAAUUUAAAAAACCUCAAUGUUUAACUAAAUUCCAAAAUUCAUAUGCUUGUUUUUAAAAAUAUUGUAUGUUUGCUGUUGAAUAAAAAAAUCCAGAAUGCAUAACGUUGCUGUUUUAGUUAAAUAAAACAAUUUAAAUGUCUGUCUGGUGAUGUUCUCCUCCUAAUACAGCAUGGCAAGAAAAUCCUCCAAAUAUUAACGAUUAACCUGUUGGCGAUAUUUAUGAAGUCACUGGGAGGUGAACUAUUUCCCUCAACUACCUUUGAGCCUGAUCCAAAACCUACUGAAGUCAGGGGUGUCUUUCGAUUGACAUCACUGGGCUUUGAAUCAGUCCUUGAAGGCUACCUUGGAAGAUUAAGAUCUGGAUUUAUGGUCUGUUGAAAUCCCACCCAUAAUAGCGAGCAAAUUUAGAAGUGGGGCCAUCUGGACACCAGUGUGCAGGAAACAGGAACUGGCAGCAUGUAGUGGCAUGUAACCAGGUAAGACUGAGUUUUUCCUCCCAUAUAUGAAUUCAUAUCCAGAAUAUCCCAACAGAACCAGCCAUCCCCAUGGGAGUACCACAUUACACAUACUCAGACCCACAACUGAUUUAGCCAUUUUACAGUGUCUCCUUGCAUAGUUUGUAGUCUCCUUAUUUAAACACAUGUCCACAGAAAAAUUACUUUUGCUAAAUACCAUGGAGACUACUUCCCCAUUCAAAGUGCUACAUAUAUAAAUGCUAAAAUUAACAAAACUAAUGCUCUCAAAGUGCACAUUAAUAGUAUGUGCUCCUACUUCAAUUCCAAAUUAUGUAACCCCCAACUGGAAUAUACUUAUUUGUUGUAAAUUCUAUUUUCAACUCGGCAGGACAUAGCAUAAUAUAUGCACUACUGUAACAGAGAAUUUUCGUGAAUUUGGGAAAUUCCAUCUUUGGAUUUUAAGAUUAGAUGUCAAAUACACAGAAAAAGAAGAGAAGCUAUAAAUGACAGUAGAUUUCCGCUGGUCUGUGUAAAGAUUUGGAGGGGGACGGGGGGGGGGGGGGGAAGGCCAAGGUUACACACUAGAAUACCAAAGGAAAAUUACCUGAAGAGAAAGAAUCGACUUUGUACAAGCAUAUGGAUGGGCUCUGAGUUACAGAAAGAGGAUCCUUUUAUUGUUCUUGGAAGCUUCUUCACAUAGCAAUCUUCUGUCAUUUAACAGGCACACCAGACAUAUGCCACACAUCCUGGAUCUAUUUCUAGAUCUUUGUUUUUCCUCCUAAAAUUUCAGUUCUUUCAUCUGUGUUUUAUUUUAGGAUUUUAGCCUGCUGUUUGCUUGCUUUGUUUGCCUGUUGUGCUUCUCUGACUCAGUUAUCCUUGUUAAUAUGUUCUUAAUUUCUGUUUGCAAAAAAAAGUCAGAUUGAUUUAUAAAACCUCCAUCUCUAUUUGGAUUACAGCUGUUAUUUCUUAUGUAUCUGUCUGCUUGAAGAAUCUCAAGUGUGGGGUAGGGGGGAAAUAAUAAAUGAGGAUUGUUAUCUUCUGCCACAAUCUCAGCACAGUUCUGUGCUGCAGAGCUCUGAGUGGUUACAUUAGAAGCUAUACAGCAAGUUAAAGCUAAAAAUUUCCAUUUGGUGGCUUCUUAGCGCACACGCCUAUUUAUGUUUGAGUGACUAAAAGGAAGAGUUUGUGUAGAGUUUGAGGGAGUUUUCACCAAGAUCUUGUAGAGUUCCAGUCACACAGCUGUGCAGGAUCAGUUUCUCUCAUGGUCUCUAAUCUCUUCUAUUUCAUAGAAAUCUAACAUCUAUCUUGGACGUACACGAGCUCAUUUUAUCCCUGAACAAUAAAGGCUCAUUUGUGCCUUUUCCUAGGCGGAGAAUACUGGAGAGCAAGAGUAGAUUCAAUCGCUGAAGCAUCAGUGCCUGGAGGCAAUUAUGCCUAAGUGCUGGAGGGAGUAUAUUAGGAAGUGCCCCUUGCUACACUUGUUGAACAAGUGCAGCCAGAGUUUCUUGAGUACAGCUAUGCAGGUGUGCGGGCAGGGCAGGAUCAUGCUUCACCCAGACACAUCCUUUCUGUUUGUGUAAUCAGUUCCACUGUUUCCUCUGUAUACCCAGUAUGACAUUCUGUACCUCAAAAUAGCACCCUGGAACUCCCAUAUUCACCACCGUGGUACGAUUAUGAAUUGUUUUGUACAAUGCAUGCCUUGUGAUGUACCAUUUAAGAAGUCUUGAUCUGUUGAAAAUUACUAUCUUGUUGAAUUGUAUGUACUAUCAUUGUAUGUGAAGUUAUGAAGUAUUGUUAUGUUUGUUACUGAAAUAUGUCGUAAGUGGGAAAUGCCCACAACAAGCCUUUCAGUGGCAACAAAGGAGCAACUAACACGGACAAGACAGAUUUACAUCAGGACCAGCCAGACAUGUGUUGAUGGCCCAUCAAGAAGAAUCCACUCUUCCAGAGACUCCUCAGAGAGUGCACAUAUGGGCUACCUAACUCCCAUGUCACAGCAAGGAUCUUAGAGAGUUUUGCACCCCAGACUACUUUUUAGCCCAUUUUAAAAAAAAGGAGUAUGUUUUAAGUUGGUCAUGUCCCUCUUAAGUUCUCAAAAUGGUUCUGCAGGCCAAGGAAUGCAAAUAAAGCACUUUCUUUCAUCACAUACACACUGCAUGUGUAUAUUGCCCACUGACAUGCCAGCCUAGCGAGGAGGGCUUUAGACUAGGUUCAAAAGAGGCAGGUAACAAAAGCCCCAGGUAGAUAUAAAAAAAGGUGACCUCAAUAUUGAGUCAGAUAUUAAGAGAGGGGAAUAGAAAAUUACAAUUGGCUCUUAGGAGCAACAAGAUAGAAAAUGACAGGUUUCAGAGUAACAGCCGUGUUAGUCUGUAUUCGCAAAAAGAAAAGGAGUACUUGUGGCACCUUAGAGGUUAACCAAUUUAUUUGAGCAUAAGCUUCCGUGAGCUACAGCUCACUUCAUCGGAUGCAUACUGUGGAAAGUGUAGAAGAUCUUUUUAUACACACAAAGCAUGAAAAAAUACCUCCCCCCACCCCACUCUCCUGCUGGUAAUAGCUUAUCUAAAGUGAUCACUCUCCUUACAAUGUGUAUGAUAAUCAAGGUGGUCCAUUUCCAGCACAAAUCCAGUGUUUAACAAGAACGUGUGAGGAGGGUGGGGGGUAGGAAAAAACAAAAUGGUGGGGGAAAUCUGCUCUAUAUUUCAGACAUCUACACACAAAUGCAUGGAGUACAGGGAAUAAACAGGAAGAACUGGAUGUAUUAGUCCUUUAGCUAAAUUAUGACUAAACUGCCAUCACGGAGACCUAAUGGGAUAAAUCUCAUGAUUGGUAUAAAAGGGUAUAACUUUACUCAGGAGGGACUGGCAGGGGAAAAAACUGAGAAGGCGUUAUAUUAUACAUCAAGAUUACGUACACUUGUUCUAGAGUCCAAAAGAAGAUGAGAGUCAGACUAAUUGAGUAUGCCUGGACGAAAACUAAAAUGGGGGUGAAAUGCACCACAGGAAAUGUUGAAGACUGCAAGGUUACCAGGCAGAAAAGGCGCUUAUACUUGGGUUCCUGGCAGGACCCAGAGAGAAUCCUUGCCAAGAGCAAGAUGACAUCAUUCAGAUUAAAUUUAGUGAGCAUACAGAAGUUUCACCAAAAGUCAAUGGCACUGGACGCAUCAUCUUGUUAGUGGAUACAGUGUUUGAAAUGAACCGUACUACUGGACAGUGGACCCAGCUCAAGUAGUACAAAACUAUACCUGAUGUUUCCUAAAAGAUUCAGUAGCAACAAACUGUGGACCAAAUCAAGCAUAGAAUCAGGUAGCACAUAUAGUGUGUCUCAGCUGUUCAAAAUGGCAUUCAUGUGUCAGUUUCUUUACUUUCCAGAACACAAAUUGUGGCUAUCCAAACUAACUGGGUUUAGGUGACUGCAACAAGAAGAUGGUGCCAAACUGACAAAGAUCUUUUUAAAAUAAAAUAAAAUAAAAUAAAAAUAAGGGGAAAAGAGUUAACAUUUGUUCUGUGAUUCAAUAUGCCAGAAAUAAAGACUACAACUGAAAGUUUGCUUCCCAGGUUGGGAGCAGUUUAAUUGCAAGCACCAGGGGAAAAAGGACAAUUAUAGAAUCACAGUUUACCAUUAAACAAAGACAGAUUUUAUUGCAGAAAUAUUUACAUUGACUAUAUGGGUUUAGUUUAAAUAUGGACACUUGCACACUACAAUAUUUGCAGUUAUUCCUGUAAUUUGAUUUCAGUAAAUCUAACUACUGCAGGUGGUAGAUGUCCAGCAUUUAAUAGCAUCCACACUAUAUUUAGCCUGUCCUUGCCAGGGUCACAGGGAGAUCUGAGAAGCUUUGUUAACUCUACUGUACUGGGGGGGG